RNAcentral lists this ribosomal RNA (136 nucleotides) under Escherichia coli. RNAcentral's name for it is "partial 16S ribosomal RNA". It matches the Rfam family "Bacterial small subunit ribosomal RNA", at positions 1 to 130 of the family's 1533-position model. Lineage: Bacteria; Pseudomonadati; Pseudomonadota; Gammaproteobacteria; Enterobacterales; Enterobacteriaceae. The record is from RNAcentral. RNAcentral also lists the same sequence under 15 other names.
AAAUUGAAGAGUUUGAUCAUGGCUCAGAUUGAACGCUGGCGGCAGGCCUAACACAUGCAAGUCGAACGGUAACAGAAAGCAGCUUGCUGCUUUGCUGACGAGUGGCGGACGGGUGAGUAAUGUCUGGGAAACUGCC